UCGACUUGCAAAAGCCUGCAGAAAAUUCUUCAAGCUGCAACAGGUCAACAUCGUAUCUUCUGAUUUAAUUGAGCAGAAUCGUACUUUUUGUUUUCUAAUUCUUCGUAAAAAUUACAAGGUUACAUAAAACAAUUCGGGACUUUUGACUAGAUUUCGGUAGAUGGAAGCUAUACUUACAACGAACCUAUGGAGGCAAAAAAUGGAUGCGAAUGGAGAGAGAUGCAGCUCCAAGCAAUUACAAAAUCAGCCUGAUUUUCUAGGUGCUGUAUUUGUACUGAUUUUUGAAAAAAAAAAUUGAAAAGUUGAUACUCCAGAUAUUUUUCAUUCAACAUCUGACAGAGAAUGAGAACGUGCACACCAGUGUAAACGGCCAAAAACAAAUAUUCCGAGACAGAGAUAACUGAUAACACUUUUGAAUGGUGGAUGCUCCAUCAUGUUCACUCUUCAACGUGGGCUGGCAAAGGAGUUGCAUGACGUACAUCGGAACGGAUAUGAAGUGAUUUGGGCAGAAAACCAUGGGAACGACAUUCUGGACUGGAGGAAUUUGGAAAUGGAGACACGUGCAUCUAUUUGGGAUACAUGGAUCAGAGAUUCGGGAUUUCCUGAAUGAGCUUUUUUGUCAAGGUAAGAAUUAAGCACCAGUGGUAAAUUGAAGGUAGCCUAUUAGUGAUGGAUUAAGACUCUGUGCAGGUUGCACAACAGCCGGUUAAGUUUUAACCGUGAUUAAUCCCACGAAAACCAAUCAGAGAAGCCGUCUUUUCCACGAGAACCAAUCAGAGAAGCCGUAUUUUCAAAAACGCCUUCUCUGAUUGGUUCUCGUGGAAUUAAUCAUGGUUAAAAUUUGACCGGCUAUUGUGCAACCGGGCCUUGCUGUUUGAGAUGAAUUGUUCAGUUGAGUUGCAAGAGCUCCAUGCUUGGGAAUUUGACUCUUUUUCUGUCAAUAAGACAUAAGUUGUACAUUUAUCAUUAAAUGUAUUUAUAUUAGAUA
RNAcentral lists this long non-coding RNA (988 nucleotides) under Nilaparvata lugens (brown planthopper). Its description in RNAcentral is "uncharacterized LOC120352648, transcript variant X1". Lineage: Eukaryota; Metazoa; Arthropoda; Insecta; Hemiptera; Delphacidae. The record is from RNAcentral.